Molecule: long non-coding RNA, 732 nt
Organism: Nerophis ophidion (straightnose pipefish)
Lineage: Eukaryota; Metazoa; Chordata; Actinopteri; Syngnathiformes; Syngnathidae
Exons: 3
Source: RefSeq, a predicted model, not a curated record
UCUUCUGAAAACAGGAAAAUAACAUACUACAAACUGUCAUGUGGAUCACGACCAAUAGUGAAAUGUGAAUUAUAUUUAUAUAGUCAUUUUCUCUAGUGACUCAAAGCGCUUUUAAAUAACUAAACCCAGUAUAUAAGUUACAUUUAAACCAGUGUGGGUGACACUGGGAGCAGGUGGGUAAGGUGUCUUGCCCAAGGACACAACGGCAGUAAGUAGGAUGGCGGGAGCGGGGAACAAACCUGGAACCCUCAAGUUGCUGGCACGGCCACUCUAACAGCUGAGCUAUAUAUGCUUGGCAGGGACCUCCGCUGGAAGCACACUUGGACACGGACCUGCUCGCUCUGGCCGCAUUGCGGCCACGCGCCAGCAAAGUUGCAGGUAAUAUGUAAUCAGCGCACAUGGUCUGGCAAAGACAGACAGCAUAAAGACCAGCGGACCCGAAGAUCCAGCACCGGAACGUAGUUAACUCCUUGUAUGCCUUUCCUGUUUCCCAUGAUUGAGCUGUGUGCCUCUACUCCUCUCUGGAUUUUGACCCCUGCUUGGACACGGACCUCAUUGCUUCUCUCCAGCCCCUGACCGCUUGCUUGCCCACGGACUGCCCUUCUUGCCUUGCCUUGCCCCUCUGGGCUGACGAAGGAUUCAUCCAACACGCACUCACAACAAACCCUGGUAACAUUUACAUUGUAUAUUCUACACACUGUUUUACACCAAACAUUUAGAGGAGCAUACACA